Molecule: non-coding RNA, 87 nt
Organism: Morus notabilis
Lineage: Eukaryota; Viridiplantae; Streptophyta; Magnoliopsida; Rosales; Moraceae
Source: Rfam
GCCAAUGAUGCAAUAUUCUUUGACCGAAGUGCGAGUUGUAAGCUUUGCACUAGUGUCGAAAUUUAUUGAACUAGGACGGUCUGAGGC